AAAAGAAAAUCCCGCCCAACGGUAUCUGACUCCUUUACAUCCCCAACUAAGCAAGUGCAAGGUGCAGCUCAGCUCGAUUGACAGACCAAAUCCAUCUAUGGAUAUCCUGUUGUCAAGUCUUUUGCUGUGGACUCUAGUGUUUGUGGUGUGAAUGAUGCUGUGAAUGUGGCCCUGUAAAGCAUGCCCCUCAGUUCUACCAAGAUGACAUUGAUACUACCACGGAGAGUCUCAUAAGAGGACUCUGCAUUUUCCUCAUCGAGGACCCUGAUGACCUUAUGCAGGAGUACAUGGACAUGACUAAUUCUACUACACCGCAGUGCCAUAGAAGCAACAACUGUUGGAAUCUACAUAUCUAGAGGAACUCCCAACAGUGACAAUAAGUGCAAUGUGUGCAUCAAACUCCAUUUAUAAUAUAAUGCUGUUCUACAACGGAUGUAAAAUGUGCCAUUUUGACAGUUCGUCCAGGUUAUAGAAUAUAAUGUGUGGGUAGGGAGGGGUGGUGGGAUCUGAUACCAGUUUUGUUGUACGUAUUGGAGCAAUGUGUGCAUCAAUACACCAUUUAUAAUGUAAUGCUGUGCCAGUUUGACUGUUCUUCCAGGUUAUAAAAUAAAAUGACCGCACCAAUGAGCCAAUGCAAUAAUUGUUAAUGAGCGUUUCCAUUUAAAAACAAACUGACAUUUCAUGUGUGUGGGGGUCCAGAUACCAGUUUUGUUGAACGUUUUGGUGCAAAUUCUUUUUAAUCAAUACACCAUUUAUAAUGGCUGUAAAAUGUGCCAUUUUAACUUUUUGCAAGUCAUUGAAUAAAAGCUUUUAUUGUGUCAAAAUGUUUUCUAAAUGUUAACUUAUUUGGUGGGGGGAAAGUGGGUAACAAGAUGUUGAAAAUAGAUUGUAGAAUACAACUUAAUUUGCAUUUAAAAUUUGGUUUUAAUUUAGAAUAAGGUUUAUUUUUUGAGUAACAUUUAUUUUUGAAAUUUUUAAUGAUAUUAAAGUAUUAACAUUAUCAAGGUGUCAUGACUGAGUUGUGCUGAAGUCAAAUGACAAAAGUGAAAUGAUAGAAGAACUUAAUUUAUUCAAACAUAUUUUAAUCAUUUUGUAGUAACAUAAAAUACUUGUGUUUACUGAAUAUAACAACUUUGUGUUAAAUGAACACAACAGUGUAGAUUGCUGCCAAAGUAAAAACUUUGUGUGCAACCAAUGUCCACUAUUGAAUUGAGUAAAUCCAAUGCAUUAUUUUUUUCAGUGUACCACAGCCGGUGUCUGCGUAAAACACGCAGCAUCAUCAAGGACCACACUCACCUAGCUGAAGGACUUUUCCGGCAGGUGUUACAGGUGCCUACCAGCACUUACAAAAAGAAAGACAGUUAUUGUCCACAAGCUGUCAGACUACUGAACUCUGGACAAUAAUACUGCACCAAACCACAUUUGUGACACUUUAUUAGCUUAUUGUUGCUGCACGAUGUGUACUUUUUAAUUGAACACCAUUAUUACUUUUGUUUUUAUAGUGAGUUAAAUGGUUCGUCUUAUCCCAGCCAUUUCAUUGCAUUGUUGACUGUGUGUUAACCUGCAAAUGACAAAUAAACCACUACAAUACAAUACAA
This is a long non-coding RNA of Girardinichthys multiradiatus, 1598 nucleotides long. RefSeq lists it as uncharacterized. Lineage: Eukaryota; Metazoa; Chordata; Actinopteri; Cyprinodontiformes; Goodeidae. The transcript is spliced from 5 exons. The record is from RefSeq and is a predicted model, not a curated record.